RNAcentral lists this ribosomal RNA (1231 nucleotides) under uncultured organism. RNAcentral's name for it is "bacterial SSU rRNA". It matches the Rfam family "Bacterial small subunit ribosomal RNA", at positions 220 to 1459 of the family's 1533-position model. The record is from RNAcentral.
UAAAGAUGGGCAUGCGUGACAUUAGUUAGUUGGUGAGGUAACGGCUCACCAAUGCAACGAUGUCUAGGGGUUCUGAGAGGAUUGUCCCCCACACUGGUACUUGAGACACGGACCAGACUCCUACGGGAGGCAGCAGUGAGGAAUAUUGGUCAAUGGGCGAGAGCCUGAACCAAGCCAUGCCGCGUGCAGGAAGACUUGUUCUAUGAAUUGUAAACUGCUUUUCUACAGGAAGAAAUCAUGCUACGUGUAGUGUGUUGCCGGUACUGUAGGAAUAAGCACCGGCUAACUCCGUGCCAGCAGCCGCGGUAAUACGGAGGGUGCAAGCGUUAUCCGGAUUUAUUGGGUUUAAAGGGUGCGUAGGCGGAAUAGUAAGUCAGUGGUGAAAUCCUGCGGCUCAACCGUAGAACUGCCAUUGAUACUGUUAUUCUUGAAUGUAGUUGAGGUAGGCGGAAUGUGUAAUGUAGCGGUGAAAUGCUUAGAUAUUACACAGAACACCGAUUGCGAAGGCAGCUUGCUAAGCUACGAUUGACGCUGAUGCACGAAAGCGUGGGGAGCGAACAGGAUUAGAUACCCUGGUAGUCCACGCUGUAACCUAUGAUCACUCGUUGUUUGCGAUAUACAGUAAGCGACUGAGCGAAAGCAUUAAGUGAUCCACCUGGGGAGUACGUUGGCAACAAUGAAACUCAAAGGAAUUGACGGGGGCCCGCACAAGCGGAGGAACAUGUGGUUUAAUUCGAUGAUACGCGAGGAACCUUACCUGGGUUUAAAUGUAGGUUGCAUAGAGGGGAAACUCUCUUUUCCUUCGGGACUACCUACAAGGUGCUGCAUGGUUGUCGUCAGCUCGUGCCGUGAGGUGUCGGGUUAAGUCCCAUAACGAGCGCAACCCUUAUCGUUAGUUGCCAUCAGGUCAUGCUGGGGACUCUAACGAGACUGCCGGUGUAAACCGUGAGGAAGGUGGGGAUGACGUCAAAUCAGCACGGCCCUUAUAUCCAGGGCUACACACGUGUUACAAUGGUCGGUACAAAGAGCAGCCACUUGGCGACAAGGCGCUAAUCUCGAAAGCCGAUCACAGUUCGGAUCGGAGUCUGCAACUCGACUUCGUGAAGUUGGAUUCGCUAGUAAUCGCGCAUCAGCCACGGCGCGGUGAUACGUUCCCGGGCCUUGUACACACCGCCCGUCAAGCCAUGGAAGCUGGGGGUGCCUGAAGUCCGUAACCGCAAGGAGCGGCCUA